UACCAGCUCUCCGAGUGGUAGGGAUGAUUAUUGGGCUUAAAGCGUCCGUAGCCGGCUUAGCAAGUCUCCUGUUAAAUUCAGCGACCUAAUCGUUGAGCCGCGGGAGAUACUACUAGGCUAGGAGGCGGGAGAGGUCAACGGUACUUCCGGGGUAGGGGUGAAAUCCUAUAAUCCCGGGAGGACCACCAGUGGCGAAGGCUGUUGACUAGAACGCGCUCGACGGUGAGGGACGAAAGCUGGGGGAGCGAACCGGAUUAGAUACCCGGGUAGUCCCAGCUGUAAACGAUGCGAGCUAGGUGUUGGGGUGACUACGUGCCACUUCAGUGCCGCAGGGAAGCCAUUAAGCUCGCCGCCUGGGGAGUACGGCCGCAAGGCUAGAAACUUAAAGGAAUUGGCGGGGGAGCACCACAAGGCGUGAAGCUUGCGGUUC
This 430-nucleotide ribosomal RNA is filed under the name uncultured archaeon. RNAcentral's name for it is "bacterial SSU rRNA". It matches the Rfam family "Archaeal small subunit ribosomal RNA", at positions 474 to 903 of the family's 1478-position model. The record is from RNAcentral.